RNAcentral lists this ribosomal RNA (312 nucleotides) under Triticum aestivum (bread wheat). Its description in RNAcentral is "partial small subunit ribosomal RNA". Lineage: Eukaryota; Viridiplantae; Streptophyta; Magnoliopsida; Poales; Poaceae. The record is from RNAcentral.
AUGGCCAAAAGGUACUUCAAACUUGGAACGAGCAUGAAGAGAUUAACGAGACUUCUUUCUCUUUUGAGUUUUUCUGGCGGACCUGCCGCGCAAGAUCUUUGGUCUUCCCUUGGAACCGAUGAAAAAAAGUGGAUCGUUUCUUAUGUACUCGCUCAGAAUGAUUCUUCUCUAUCUAUAGUUCAUGGCCUAUUAGAAGUAGAAGGUGCUCUGGUGCAAUCCUUACCGACAGAAAAAGAUUGCAGUCAGGUUGAUAAUAGUCGAGUGACAUUACUUCGUCAGUCCAAAUUAAGGAAUCUGUUAGAAAUGUUUUGA